CAACCUGAACUCAGUCGUGAUUACCCGCUGAACUUAAGCAUAUCAUUUAGCGGAGGAAAAGAAACUAAAAAGGAUUCCCCUAGUAACGGCGAGUGAAACGGGAAGAGCCCAGCGCCGAAUCGAUCAGUCUUUGGCUGCUUCGAAAUGUGGCGUAUAGGUGUAGUCUUCCAGCAGUGUCGUAUGUCCGAAGUCCUUGCGAUUGAGGCCAUAAACCAGAGAGGGUGCGAGCCCCGUUCUGGAUAGCGGCGCUGUUGGAUCGACUGCUCCUUGGAGUCGGGUUGCUUGAAAGUGCAGCCUAAAGUGGGUGAUAAACUUCAUCUAAGGCUAAAUAUUGACUCGAUUGCGAUAGCGAACAAGUACCGUGAGGGAAAGUUGCAAAGGACUUUGAAGAGAGAGUUCAAGAGAACGUGAAAUCGCUGGAGUGGAACCGGAGACAGUUGAUGUUGCUUGGAGACAAUCUUGGUGGCUGAUCGCUUAGCUGUGAUCGCCGCCGGGAGUCGUUUCCUAUGCUACGCCGACGGCGUUGGCCGCUCGUUCUGGCCCGACAGUGUUGCCCAUCUCGCAAGAGACGGUGUCUUGUUGUCGGUCGUUGGUUCGUGGUGGCUAGCGUUUAGUUACGCUAGUGUGUGUGACGUCGGUGUGAAAGUCGACGACGUUUCCGACCCGUCUUGAAACACGGAUUACGGAGUGUUUGUCUGCUGCGAGUCAAAGGGUGUAAAAACCUUGCGGCGCAAUGAAAGUGAAGGUUAGUCUCGAACUGACCGACGUGGGAUCCGUGCUCUUCGGAGUGCGGCGCACCACGGCCCUAUGCGUGUCACUUGUGACUGUGUAGAGGUUGAGCAGUAGGCAAGCGACCCGAAAGAUGGUGAACUAUGCCUGAGCAGGAUGAAGCCAGAGGAAACUCUG
RNAcentral lists this non-coding RNA (906 nucleotides) under Caenorhabditis japonica. RNAcentral describes it as "Eukaryotic large subunit ribosomal RNA". It matches the Rfam family "Eukaryotic large subunit ribosomal RNA", at positions 1 to 866 of the family's 3401-position model. The record is from Rfam by way of RNAcentral. Lineage: Eukaryota; Metazoa; Nematoda; Chromadorea; Rhabditida; Rhabditidae.